RNAcentral lists this long non-coding RNA (201 nucleotides) under Panax ginseng (ginseng). Its description in RNAcentral is "long non-coding RNA (PGIN_LNC010919)". The record is from RNAcentral. Lineage: Eukaryota; Viridiplantae; Streptophyta; Magnoliopsida; Apiales; Araliaceae.
ACGCAUUGAGUAGAAGAUCAUACGCGGGAACUAGUGCGAUGUUGUUAACACAAAGGCCCAUUUUGUGUGAUUUACAAAAGAUGAGGAUAGAAUUCAAGACUUCGGGGACUCAUGCAAUGAUGUCAAGUUUACGUAUAGAACCAACUUUAAUUGAGAAAGUUAAAGUUGCUCAAGCCACCGACCCGGAGCUGAUGAUUAUGA